Molecule: long non-coding RNA, 896 nt
Organism: Onychostoma macrolepis
Lineage: Eukaryota; Metazoa; Chordata; Actinopteri; Cypriniformes; Cyprinidae
Exons: 3
Source: RefSeq, a predicted model, not a curated record
GGAUUGCUUUUCUCUUUAUAAAAUUACAUGGGAGAAAUACUUUUUGUUGAUAAUGUUACUCAAAAUUUGAUUGGUGGUGAACACAUUUAGAAAUUACUAACUGCGUUUGUCAGGUUUACAGUGUUAAAUUCGUGAGGUGUAGAUGCAACGUUAGCCUGCGUAAAAGCUUCUAAUGCGGGUUCGAUGUCCUGAAAUAAGAUCCUCUCUCCUUCAUUCCCGCCGAGGCCUGGUUUUACUACGAGUCUGAAGCAGCCACAUUUGGGCGGUUUUCUACUCGGAGGAGAGAAUUCAUCAAAUGACUUCUGCAAUGUCAAGUGAAGGAAGCUCCUCCCAUAAGAUUGCAAACCUGGAGUCUGUUGAUCGUGAGUGAUGGAAGCCCUUCAAGAAAGGAGCAGAAUGCUGAAGAUGAAGCCAGAAUUGUGAGUCUGUGUCAUUCAUAUGUUAUUCUGUGUACAGUAAAAAUUUUAAACACACAAACGAAUAUGAAAAAUUAAAAUUUAACUGGGCAGCCACACAAUAUCUGCUUGUGCUCACACCUGGAAUUUACUAAUUAUUAAUUUAAGAUAUCAAAACACAUAAAGCCCAAAAAUGAAAACUUGUCGUUAUUUCUCACUCUCUGUCAUUCCCAACCUGCAAGACUUUCAUUCAUUUUCAAAACACAAACGAAGAUAUUUUAAAUGAAACCUGAGAGAUUUCUGUCCUUCCAUCGACAGUCUACACAACUACCACUUUGAUGCUUCAAGAAGUUCAUAAAGAGAUCAUAAGUAAUCCAAAUGAAUCGAGCGGUUUAGUCACAAUUUGAUGAUUUUAUGUGUUUUAUUAACUGUUAUGUUUCCGUGCAACACUUAAUGAAUGUGACUGACUAAUUAACCUCUACACAUCUGGUAUGUGCCACU